AUUGAACGCUGGCGGCAGGCUUAACACAUGCAAGUCGAGCGGGGUGAUGGUGCUUGCACUAUCACUUAGCGGCGGACGGGUGAGUAAUGCUUAGGAAUCUGCCUAUUAGUGGGGGACAACAUCUCGAAAGGGACGCUAAUACCGCAUACGUCCUACGGGAGAAAGCAGGGGAUCACUUGUGACCUUGCGCUAAUAGAUGAGCCUAAGUCGGAUUAGCUAGUUGGUGGGGUAAAGGCCUACCAAGGCGACGAUCUGUAGCGGGUCUGAGAGGAUGAUCCGCCACACUGGGACUGAGACACGGCCCAGACUCCUACGGGAGGCAGCAGUGGGGAAUAUUGGACAAUGGGGGAACCCUGAUCCAACCAUGCCGCGUGUGUGAAGAAGGCCUUAUGGUUGUAAAGCACUUUAAGCGAGGAGGAGGCUCUUUUGGUUAAUACCCAAGAUGAGUGGACGUUACUCGCAGAAUAAGCACCGGCUAACUCUGUGCCAGCCGCCGCAGUAA
Molecule: ribosomal RNA, 502 nt
Filed under: uncultured bacterium
Lineage: Bacteria
Description: partial 16S ribosomal RNA
Rfam family: Bacterial small subunit ribosomal RNA
Source: RNAcentral